AAGGAAGGAAGGAAGGAAGGAAGGAAGGAAGGAAGGAAGGAAAGAAGGAAAGAAAGAGGAAGGAAGGAAGGAAAGAGGAAGGAAGGGAGGAAGGAAGGAAGGAAGGAAGGAAGGAAGGAAGGAAGGAAGGAAGGAAGGAAGGAAGGAAGGAAGGAAGGAAGAAAGGAAGGAAAAUGAGGGAAUUGUAGUAGCUAUGGAAAUUUAGUGAAUUAUAGUGAGGGGAAUUUUAGAGAAGUUGCACCAGGAAGUAAGCCAAAGAAAGAGACUGAAUCUUGAGCCCCUCCCCUACACUACUUCCUAUUUCUUUCUUCCCAACUGUCUGGAUAAAGAUCUCACAGAUGGACCUCCCACAGAUGGGCAUCUAGGACUACAAAGUAAUCCUAAUCCAACCUAGUGUUGCUGAUGGAGACCAGCUUGGCAGAGGAGAAGGACUAUGUGUUCCAGAGAAUUGGACAAGUUUGCAUGAAGAAAGAAGUUGAUAGGAACGUGCGCAAAGGAAAAAGUUAAGGAGAGUACCUCCCUCCUUUGUUACUGAAUUAGAACAGGACCCAGAAAGGUAAAGUUUCUCCACUAAAGACAAGAGAGCUCUAGAGUAUCCUCUUUCAGCUCCAGGACAGGCCUCUGAGGCAAAGCUUCACCUAGAAUAUCUGUAAAGAGUUUUACAAAGCUGAGUGCAAUAUAAAUGCUAUUUUAACAGAAGAAACUACUAAGAAACAAGGGGAAUCAAACAUGAAGUCUACACCUACUCCAAGUGUGGUCUGAACCAGAUUAAAAUGUAAUUUGGAAGUAGUAACAAAAUAAAUUAAAAUACAAUAUAAACUAGAUCAUUUUAAUCUGUGGUUUUCUAAAUCAAUAUCCAGGGCAGAGAUCCUUAUAUAAAUUUAGUGUCUCUAACUUCAGAAAGAGCAAAACAAUGAAAGAACCAUGAUGGGAACUAUGGUGGGAAGUGGCAUCUCAGAGUAACAUUGAACAAUGUCUUCUGGGAGCAAUAGAGGCAGGAUAAAAAGGCCAGAGGAAACUUUAAUGAGACUAGCAAGGAGGAAUGAGAAAAGUCUUAUGCUAAGGCUGAGGAGAACUUUGGCAGCAAAUAGCAUGGGUAAACCAUACCAGAUUCUAGAAGCAACAACUGCUGGGAGCCCUACCUGGGCAUGGCUGAGAGUGACUGAGGCUGUGCAGUACAGAUCUCGAAAAAAGUGACUCAUAGAAAGGUACUUCUAUUGUCCUUGAAAUAUUUCUUUUCUAUGACCACAAAUAAACUAAAUAGGCUAGUUG
Long non-coding RNA from Monodelphis domestica (gray short-tailed opossum), 1272 nucleotides. RefSeq lists it as uncharacterized. Lineage: Eukaryota; Metazoa; Chordata; Mammalia; Didelphimorphia; Didelphidae. The record is from RefSeq and is a predicted model, not a curated record.